GACGAACGCUGGCGGCGUGCUUAACACAUGCCAGUCGAACGGUGAAGCGCCUUCCUUUUUGGUGGGUGUGGAUGAGUGGCGAACGGGUGGGUAACACGUGAGUAACCUGCCCCCUUCUUCUGGAUAACCGCAUGAAAGUGUGGCUAAUACGGGAUAUUCUGGGUCUGUCGCAUGAUGGGUCUGGGAAAGAUAUUGUUUCGGUGGGGGAUGGGCUCGCGGCCUAUCAGCUUGUUGGUGGGGUGAUGGCCUACCAAGGCGGUGACGGGUAGCCGGCCUGAGAGGGUGGACGGCCACACUGGGACUGAGACACGGCCCAGACUCCGACGGGAGGCAGCCGUGUGGAAUAUGGCACAAUGGGCGAAAGCCUGAUGCAGCGACGCCGCGUGAGGGACGGAGGCCUUCGGGUUGUGAACCUCUUUCGCCAGUGAAGCAGGCCUGCCUCGUUUGUGGGUGGGUUGACGGUAGCUGGAGAAGAAGCGCCGGCUAACUACGUG
RNAcentral lists this ribosomal RNA (494 nucleotides) under uncultured bacterium. RNAcentral's name for it is "partial 16S ribosomal RNA". It matches the Rfam family "Bacterial small subunit ribosomal RNA", at positions 28 to 507 of the family's 1533-position model. The record is from RNAcentral.